UACAGAGGGUGCAAGCGUUGUUCGGAAUUAUUGGGCGUAAAGGGCGCGUAGGCGGUGCGGUAAGUCUGUAGUGAAAUCUCUGGGCUCAACUCAGAGUCUGCUAUAGAAACUGCCGUGCUAGAGUGCGGGAGAGGCGAGUGGAAUUGCAGGUGUAGCGGUGAAAUGCGUAGAUAUCUGCAGGAACACCCGUGGCGAAGGCGGCUCGCUGGACCGCAACUGACGCUGAGGAACGAAAGCUAGGGGAGCAAACAGG
Molecule: ribosomal RNA, 253 nt
Filed under: uncultured bacterium
Lineage: Bacteria
Description: partial 16S ribosomal RNA
Rfam family: Bacterial small subunit ribosomal RNA
Source: RNAcentral